GGCUCAGGAUGAACGCUAGCUACAGGCUUAACACAUGCAAGUCGAGGGGAAACGAUAGAGAAAGCUUGCUUUUUCUAGGCGUCGACCGGCGCACGGGUGAGUAACGCGUAUCCAACCUGCCCACCACUUGGGGAUAACCUUGCGAAAGUAAGACUAAUACCCAAUGACGUCUCUAGAAGACAUCUGAAAGAGAUUAAAGAUUUAUCGGUGAUGGAUGGGGAUGCGUCUGAUUAGCUUGUUGGCGGGUAACGGCCACCAAGGCGACGAUCAGUAGGGGUUCUGAGAGGAAGGUCCCCCACAUUGGAACUGAGACACGGUCCAAACUCCUACGGGAGGCAGCAGUGAGGAAUAUUGGUCAAUGGACGAGAGUCUGAACCAGCCAAGUAGCGUGCAGGAUGACGGCCCUAUGGGUUGUAAACUGCUUUUAUAAGGGAAUAAAGUGAGUCUCGUGAGACUUUUUGCAUGUACCUUAUGAAUAAGGACCGGCUAAUUCCGUG
RNAcentral lists this ribosomal RNA (497 nucleotides) under uncultured bacterium. RNAcentral describes it as "bacterial SSU rRNA". It matches the Rfam family "Bacterial small subunit ribosomal RNA", at positions 21 to 507 of the family's 1533-position model. The record is from RNAcentral.